This 501-nucleotide ribosomal RNA is filed under the name uncultured Glomeromycotina. RNAcentral describes it as "partial small subunit ribosomal RNA". It matches the Rfam family "Eukaryotic small subunit ribosomal RNA", at positions 591 to 1092 of the family's 1831-position model. Lineage: Eukaryota; Fungi; Glomeromycota. The record is from RNAcentral.
CCAAUAGCGUAUAUUAAAGUUGUUGCAGUUAAAAAGCUCGUAGUUGAAUUUCGGGGUCAGUAGGUUGGUCAUGCCACUGGUAUGUACUGGUCUCACUGAUUCCUCCUUCCUGAUGAACUGUAAUGCCAUUAAUUUGGUGUUGCAGGGAAUCUGGACUGUUACUUUGAAAAAAUUAGAGUGUUUAAAGCAGGCUAACGCCUGAAUACAUUAGCAUGGAAUAAUGAAAUAGGACGUUCGAUCCUAUUUUGUUGGUUUCUAGGAUUGACGUAAUGAUUAAUAGGGAUAGUUGGGGGCAUUAGUAUUCAAUUGUCAGAGGUGAAAUUCUUGGAUUUAUUGAAGACUAACUACUGCGAAAGCAUUUGCCAAGGAUGUUUUCAUUAAUCAAGAACAAAAGUUAGGGGAUCGAAGACGAUCAGAUACCGUCGUAGUCUUAACCAUAAACUAUGCCGACUAGGGAUCGAAUGAUGUUAAUUUUUUUAAUGACUCAUUCGGCGCCUUACG